This 277-nucleotide ribosomal RNA is filed under the name uncultured bacterium. RNAcentral describes it as "partial 16S ribosomal RNA". It matches the Rfam family "Bacterial small subunit ribosomal RNA", at positions 333 to 607 of the family's 1533-position model. The record is from RNAcentral.
GUUUUCCUACGGGGGGCAGCAGUGAGGAAUAUUGGUCAAUGGUCGGGAGACUGAACCAGCCAAGCCGCGUGAGGGAUGAAGGUACAGAGUAUCGUAAACCUCUUUUGUCAGGGAACAAAGGCGGGGACGUGUCCCCGGAUGAGUGUACCUGAAGAAAAAGCAUCGGCUAACUCCGUGCCAGCAGCCGCGGUAAUACGGAGGAUGCGAGCGUUAUCCGGAUUUAUUGGGUUUAAAGGGUGCGCAGGCGGGCUGUUAAGCCGGCGGUAAAAAUUCAGGG